GAAAUGCGAUAAGUAAUGUGAAUUGCAGAAUUCAGUGAAUCAUCGAGUCUUUGAACGCACAUUGCGUCCCCUGGUAUUCCGGGGGGCAUGCCUGUCCGAGCGUCAUUGCUGCCCUCAAGCACGGCUUGUGUGUUGGGCCGCCGUCCCGGGGGACUUUUCUCCCCCGCGGGACGGGCCCGAAAGGCAGCGGCGGCACCGUGUCCGGUCCUCGAGCGUAUGGGGCUCUGUCACCCGCUCUGGUAGGCCCGGCCGGCGCGCCAGCCCUUCUCAACCAUUUUUGUUCUUUCUCCAGGUUGACCUCGGAUCAGGUAGGGAUACCCGCUGAACUUAA
Molecule: unclassified non-coding RNA, 331 nt
Filed under: uncultured Eurotiales
Lineage: Eukaryota; Fungi; Ascomycota; Eurotiomycetes; Eurotiales
Description: sequence contains ITS1
Rfam family: 5.8S ribosomal RNA (bases 1-105)
Source: RNAcentral